RNAcentral lists this unclassified non-coding RNA (497 nucleotides) under uncultured Diversispora. Its description in RNAcentral is "SSU rRNA". It matches the Rfam family "Eukaryotic small subunit ribosomal RNA", at positions 569 to 1066 of the family's 1831-position model. Lineage: Eukaryota; Fungi; Glomeromycota; Glomeromycetes; Diversisporales; Diversisporaceae. The record is from RNAcentral.
CGCAGCCGCGGUAAUUCCAGCUCCAAUAGCGUAUAUUAAAGUUGUUGCAGUUAAAAAGCUCGUAGUUGAACUUCGGGGUCUACCCAUUGGUCAGGCUUAAUUGUCUGCACUGGUGGGAUGGAUCUCUACCUUCUGAGGCAACUUUCAUGCCAUUUAUUUGGUGUGAUUGGAAAUCAGGACUGUUACUUUGAAAAAAUUAGAGUGUUUAAAGCAGACUAUCGUCUGAAUACAUUAGCAUGGAAUAAUGAAAUAGGACGGACUGAUUCUAUUUCGUUGGUUUCUAGGAUCACCGUAAUGAUUAAUAGGGAUAGUUGGGGGCAUUAGUAUUCAAUUGUCAGAGGUGAAAUUCUUGGAUUUAUUGAAGACUAACUACUGCGAAAGUCAUUUGCCAAGGAUGUUUUCAUUAAUCAAGAACGAAAGUUAGGGGAUCGAAGACGAUCAGAUACCGUCGUAGUCUUAACCAUAAACUAUGCCGACUAGGGAUCGGACGAAGUUAA